Lutra lutra (Eurasian river otter) is the source of this 110-nucleotide small nucleolar RNA. RefSeq annotates it as small nucleolar RNA SNORA5. Lineage: Eukaryota; Metazoa; Chordata; Mammalia; Carnivora; Mustelidae. The record is from RefSeq and is a predicted model, not a curated record. The transcript has a single exon.
UCCAGUUAUUUAAAAUUCCUUCACUCUGGGAUGCCUGGGUGGCUGUCAGUUAAGCAUCUGCCUUUGGCUCAGGUCAUGAUCCCAGGGUUCUGGGAUCAAGUUCCACAUUA